Molecule: long non-coding RNA, 1725 nt
Filed under: Phascolarctos cinereus (koala)
Lineage: Eukaryota; Metazoa; Chordata; Mammalia; Diprotodontia; Phascolarctidae
Description: lncRNA (ENSPCIG00000036251.1)
Source: RNAcentral
GGACUUACUCUGAUGCUGAUAGACCUGGCAUGGCCGAUGUCCACUGAAGGGGCAGUUUUGGGGGACCCUGCUAGUGUCUCGGGCCAACUGGAUCUGACCCCCAAGCCAGUGUGGCCGGCUGAUGAAGGAGGACCAUGCCCAGGUCACUCUUGGCUGCAAUGGUCCUGACUCGGGGCACAAAGUUGGGGUGCAGGCAGAUCCAGGAGCCGUUGAGCCAGGUCCCCAAGCCCCUCAUAGGCAGGAGGCCUGGAUUUCUGAGGGGCAUAAUGAGAGGAAUUCAGGUCCCUGGAGUGGGAAGAGGAACUCUAGCACCUAGCACCCGGCUUAGACACACAGGACAAUCAUCAAUCCAGCACCAGCAGCACAGGAGAGAGCCAGGCUUAGGCCACAGAGGCCCAGAAGAGCCCUCAUCGUCCCAUUCCGGUCCACAGGCUGGGAUGGCAUCCACAGUGCCAAGGGUGCUCGAGCUCUGCCCACUCUGGAGCGGAAAUGUUGAGGUCACAGGGACCCCCCAGUGUGACAUCUGCGUUGCCAGUCACCGUGCUAGGGGCAGCUCCCCCUGCUUCUGCUGCAGCCCAGCCCACACCCCCAUGUUUACCCUUACUCAGUGUCAGCUGAUUCAGCCAGAGGCACAGAGGAGAAGGAGGAAGGCCAAGAAACAGAGGGAAGAAGUCUGUCCAGGGCUUAAAGGAUGGAGAAUGAGCCAGUCAUGGGGUCAAACAUGAUUCUUUACUACCCGAGCCUGCCGGCUUUUCUCUGUGGCCCUGGGGGUGGGGGGUGGCGUGGCAAUUGCUGGGAUUCUGGGACAGGAAGGUCUGGGGCAGGUCCUUGCAAGUCUCCUGCUGAGUCCAUCAGAGGGCUGGUGGCCACCGCCUUCCCCCCCACUCCUCCUGCUCCUUCUCCUCCCCUCCUUGUGCCAUAACAGAUGCGAGACAGAGACCCAAUCAGAAAUUUAAUGUGGAGGUUUAUUAAAGAGCACAUCUGCAAGGGGUAUGCACACCCAAAUCAAGCAGCCCCAAUCAGGGGUCGAGCUAGGGUUUAUAUGGAAAAGAGCAUGGGAAAGAAAUGCCAGGGAGAAGGAUGAGGUAAUCCAAAGGUGCAGGUGUCUUUGGGGGAGGGGGGGCGCUAUGGAUGGGAAAGUACAGGGAGUAUACCGGACCGUGAGGGAGAUAACAGAGGUAUGGAUCUUUGGAGUCUGGCAGGAGGAAGAGUCCUUGGGCUGGCCAAAGACAAAACUCCUUGGGCUGGCCAAAGCACCCCUCUCCCUCUGUCUUGAUGAAAGAAUGCUCUGCAACAAGGGAAAGCUUUCUCACAACACAGGAACUUACUAAGGAACUGGGAGGCUUCCAGAGACAUGAUCUGAGGGCUGGGGCCUGAGCAGCCCAGCUCUGUGUAGCUGUACCAGGGAGAGAGAUAAGGGUCGUUCUGAGGCCCAUGCAAGAAGAACUGCUAGGCACAGUGUCCUUGGGCUGGGGAGUGGUUGUCAGAGACAGUGUUUCUGAGACUAGGGAGAAAUUGGGGCACAAGCACAAGGACCCGAGCACCCCAUCAUUACAGAUCAGAGAUCACCCAAAUCAAACCAGGUGUGCUGGUCUCCGGUAUUAACAUAAUUAUCUAAAGCGAUUAUAUGGCAAGCUUUCUUAUCCAUUUACCUUGGAGGUAAGGGCUGUGCUAAGCUAUGCAACAGUACAUUUCCCUAUUGUUCAGAUUUAGGAGGAAAGAGGU